Molecule: long non-coding RNA, 1380 nt
Organism: Salvia miltiorrhiza (redroot sage)
Lineage: Eukaryota; Viridiplantae; Streptophyta; Magnoliopsida; Lamiales; Lamiaceae
Exons: 2
Source: RefSeq, a predicted model, not a curated record
UGGCGGUCCUCGCUGCUGUCGACCUGAAUCGAGAGGGAGGAGGUGCCGCUGUGCUCGGCCACUGUCAGAGAGAGAGAGAGAGGGAAGUGAUGGGCGUCCGUUUUAGCGCGAGAGAAGGGAGAGCAGUUGAGGGAGAGGAGAGUCGGAGCGGCGCUCGUCGCCGGGAGUGGUGGCACGCGGCCGGAGGAAUUCUGAGAGAGGGAGAGAGGCGAGCAGCGUGAUAUGAGAAAAGGGGAGAAGGUGCGUGACUGAUAUGAGAAAGGGGGGAGGAGAAAUGGGCUUGAGUUGGGCUAGGGCUUAGUUUGAGAUGUAGGGCUUGAGAAUUUGGGCCGAGUGUUGGGCUUGGUUGUGGGCCGAUUUUCUUUGUUUAAUUUUCAGUUGGGCCUUUAUUUUAUUAAAACAGAUGGGCCUUAUUUAAAUACCACUUGGGCUGAUUUUUUUUAAGGAAAAUGUUGGGCCUUAAUUCAAUUAUUUAAUAGAUGGCCCUAUUAUUGUUUAAUUAACUUGGGCUGCCCAUUUUAUAGUGGGCUGCGAAAAUUUUUAAGAAAAAGGGGGAGGUCCUUGAUUUAAUUAUUUUAAAUGGGCUGCCCAUUAUUUAUUAAUUGGACUUAUAGCAAGGUUUGAAUAAUUUUUAUUUAAAGAAUAAUUUGCAUAAUAAUAUUAUUAUUAUUAUUAUGUGCAUAUACGAUUAAGCAUGAGAUGAUUUGUAUAAUAAUAUUAUAUCAUUAUUAUGUGCAUAUUUUAAGUAAUUACUUACCAUAUGCUAAGUAUGCAUUUGCAUCAUGCAAUAAAAGUAUUUAUGAUUUAAUUGGUUUUAUUUAUAAAUCCAAUUAUUUAAGAAAAUUGAGUAAGAAUAUUGUUGGUGUUCUUAACUCAAGAGAAAUAUUUUCAAGUAUUUAUUUAUUAAAUUUUGAAAAUCCGGCUAAGUGAAUCAUAGAAUGUUAAGCACUACACCAUGACUUAAGAUUAGAUACAAGGAGACCUAUUGAGAAUAGAUUUCUUGUAGGCUUCGAGCAUCAGAAGGAUUAGCACUGCUAUUCCGAUUCAGAGAUAAGGUUAAACGACAGGCUUUGCCUAUACAGGUUGAGCAACUGAUGGAAUGGAAUGAUGUUGAGCGGGUGUUCCUUUGACAUUUCAAGAAAUGUAACCUUGAGUAUACAUCUUCAUAUGUAUAUCUCACACGUUUUCCGCUGCAAAACACUUUGAUUAGGAUAACUCUAUGUUAUGAAGUUGUGACACGUGUUAUUGGGUAACCCACCUUAAUCAGUUCUCCUUUAUGUGUAUGUGUUAUAAGUAUCCAAAUGAUCAUAUAUGAUCCUAGCUUUUUAUUUAUGAGUGACAUUUCCAUAUACUUUAAUGUUAAGUAAUUGUCCAUUUCCA